UUGGCUUGUUUAAGCCGCCUGAGUUUGGCGGCAGGUCUGCCAAAAAAACGUCCUCACUGCCUCAUUUCUGUCUCUGCAGUUGUUGGAUUGUCCCAUGGGCUGGUCUCUGUGGCGCAAAUGCAAAUUUGAUCACCAUCCGACCCCACGUCCAAUGUGACCCCACCUCCUAGCCAGGCCCACGCCCCGGUGCUCGGGGAUCCUGGCUACACCAAAUCUUGUUUGCUUCGGUUUUGAACCCCUGAGCUUUUGCAAAGGUCCCACUCUUGGAAGCCCUCUCCAGGCUCACGGCAGCCUCUCACAUACUCCAGGUGACCCCCACUUGUAUGUCCAAAGAUCAAGAGCCCUUCUCGGCGAGUCUCCCUGCAGUCUUGCUUCCGAACAAAAAAAGGAUUUCUCUAAGCUCUUCAAAAGAAAAAUGGAACUCCGUUCAGAGGAAGUGAAAAUCAAGGUAGCUUCAAGCUCCCCAGCUGCAACAAAGCAGGAGGAGAGUGGAACAAAGGUUUGGUCGUCCUCGAGGAAGGAUGUAAGCUGGGCUUUGAUGCAUCGCCAGGCUCUGACCACACUUCACCGUCUGCUGCUGCCACCAGGACUGCGGUCACCUUCUGCCUGUCUUGGUUCAAAUGAGGGCUUGACCCACCAGCUUCCCCAGCUACAGCCGAACACAGCCCUCGCUCCUGCUCUGCUUUUCUCCAUGGUGCUCACUGCCAUCCGUCCAUCUCCUCUGCACCUGUCUUCCUCUGCUAGAAUUUCACGGCUCAGACGAGGACUUUUGUUGUCUUGCAAGAAGAGUGGAUGCGGGUGGCGAAGGUGGAGAACACCACCUGUCACGUCGUCCUCCAUCAGAGAAGACAAAAGGACAGGGUGAUGUGAUGCUAAUAAAUCCUGUAGCUGUUAAGUGGUUUGAAAAUGUAUGUAGGAGAUCUUAAGAUCACAGUAUUGUUAAGGAGGGAAUGUUGUCUUCCAAAUAAGUUCUAAGUGUUAGAUCCAGGCAGAUCAUAGUCCGAGUGCGUCAAAAACCAUCAGGGAUGAAGCUUCUCUAAAUGAUAAUGGCAACAGACUAUGUUCGCGGGGUUUUAAGUUCACCUACCAAAGAAGUCAAGUCUCUGGUUGAUGAAAAACUAAAACUGUACAAUGUGUUGCUUACUAGACAUCCAUCGACACAGAAAGGAAGGAUUAAAAACAGAAGGAAAACAGAUAAGGCAUACCUAAUUUACAAAAUUAGAUAAAAGGUCAAUUGAUUUUGAUAAAAAUAUUAAGAAUAAUGAAUACAUGACAUUAAUUAAACUUUUUGUAUAGGGUCAAAUAAUAUAGCAUCAAGGCAUCUUAAAAUCUAUUGAAAAGAACAGUGAAGAUGGUUGGAUAAUAAUUUUAAAAACCCCAUAAUAAUUAUAAGGAGAGACAUUAAUUCAAGAAACACAAAUAAAAUGAGGGCAGGGGGAAAGAUGUUAGUAUAAAUUAAAAAAAAAAGCAAACAGGCAUAUGUAGGACUCUUGCCAAGCAGGAAUUACUCAUCUCUGUGAAAAAUUUUCUGUAACAAGGGAAGAUAUAAAUAAAAAUGAUAAAAUCUUCCAAUUAAAAGAUUACCCUUUGAUCCAAAUACAAAAGCAAAUGGACACUAAACAAAGCCCCGAAGAAAAUCUAAAUGAACUUCAAAGAGCAGAAGCUUUCAGAGGCUUCAUUCCUUAGUAGGCAGAGGGGAAAAAAAAAAAAAAAAAACCAACAGAAAUUAUAGAAAUGAGAAAUACAACCAAGCACUAGUGCUUUCAAAAUAAGGGCACGACCAAUAACAUGCACGCAUCGGUGCAAAUCUAAAGUCAGAGCAGAAAGUCCGUAUAAAGUGAGUUAGAAGUGAAAAGGGGAUAAAUGAUAAUAAU
Molecule: long non-coding RNA, 1874 nt
Organism: Canis lupus familiaris (dog)
Lineage: Eukaryota; Metazoa; Chordata; Mammalia; Carnivora; Canidae
Exons: 4
Source: RefSeq, a predicted model, not a curated record